GGAUGAACGCUGGCGGCGUGCCUAAUCCAUGCAAGUCGAGCGAACGGACGAGAAGCUUGCUUCUCUGAUGUUAGCGGCGGACGGGUGAGUAACACGUGGAUAACCCACCUAUAAGACUGGGAUAACUUCGGGAAACCGGAGCUAAUACCGGAUAAUAUUUUGAACCGCAUGGUUCAAAAGUGAAAGACGGUCUUGCUGUCACUUAUAGAUGGAUCCGCGCUGCAUUAGCUAGUUGGUAAGGUAACGGCUUACCAAGGCAACGAUGCAUAGCCGACCUGAGAGGGUGAUCGGCCACACUGGAACUGAGACACGGUCCAGACUCCUACGGGAGGCAGCAGUAGGGAAUCUUCCGCAAUGGGCGAAAGCCUGACGGAGCAACGCCGCGUGAGUGAUGAAGGUCCUCGGAUCGUAAAACUCUGUUAUUAGGGAAGAACAUAUGUGUAAGUAACUGUGCACAUCUUGACGGUACCUAAUCAGAAAGCCACGGCUAACUACGUG
This 498-nucleotide ribosomal RNA is filed under the name uncultured bacterium. RNAcentral describes it as "partial 16S ribosomal RNA". It matches the Rfam family "Bacterial small subunit ribosomal RNA", at positions 27 to 507 of the family's 1533-position model. The record is from RNAcentral.